This 433-nucleotide ribosomal RNA is filed under the name uncultured bacterium. RNAcentral describes it as "partial 16S ribosomal RNA". It matches the Rfam family "Bacterial small subunit ribosomal RNA", at positions 29 to 507 of the family's 1533-position model. The record is from RNAcentral.
AACGAACGCUGGCGGCAGGCUUAACACAUGCAAGUCGAACGGAUCCUUCGGGAUUAGUGGCAGACGGGUGAGUAACGCGUGGGAACGUACCCUUUGCUACGGAAUAACUCAGGGAAACUUGAGCUAAUACCGUAUGUGCCCUGCGGGGGAAAGAUUUAUCGGCAAAGGAUCGGCCCGCGUUGGAUUAGCUAGUUGGUGGGGUAAUGGCCUACCAAGGCGACGAUCCAUAGCUGGUCUGAGAGGAUGAUCAGCCACACUGGGACUGAGACACGGCCCAGACUCCUACGGGAGGCAGCAGUGGGGAAUAUUGGACAAUGGGCGCAAGCCUGAUCCAGCCAUGCCGCGUGAGUGAUGAAGGUCUUAGGAUUGUAAAGCUCUUUCACCGGUGAAGAUAAUGACGGUAGCCGGAGAAGAAGCCCCGGCUAACUUCGUG